Molecule: transfer RNA, 75 nt
Filed under: Actinomadura verrucosospora
Lineage: Bacteria; Bacillati; Actinomycetota; Actinomycetes; Streptosporangiales; Thermomonosporaceae
Also listed under: 1 other name
Description: tRNA-Val
Rfam family: tRNA
About the family: Transfer RNA (tRNA) molecules are approximately 80 nucleotides in length. Their secondary structure includes four short double-helical elements and three loops (D, anti-codon, and T loops).
Source: RNAcentral
GGGCGAUUAGCUCAGUGGGAGAGCGCUACCUUGACACGGUAGAGGUCACUGGUUCAAUCCCAGUAUCGCCCACGA